UGUGUCUGCAGCCUGGUGGGUGUCUCCAGCUGUCCUUUAACUUCUCCAUUUCCCUCAGUUCCCUGGGAAGGUUCAGGGUGGUGGGCUUGCCUUUCAGGAUGCCUUUCAUCGUCAGGGCCCCUGUGUCCACUGCUGUGACAUUUGGUGAGGAACAGCUCCCUUCCUGGAGCCAAAGAGCAUUCAUUGUCUGGCCACAGGAAAAGCACGCCACAUGUCCCCUGACGACCUGAAGAUGAAUCCUGACUGCCUGGACAUGCCUGGGCGGGUGUACCCAUGGCCUGUGGUUGAACCAGCCACACCUUGUCUCUUGGCCAGAGGUAAUGUCCAGGCUCAUCUCUCUGUGUAGUAACUGGACCCAGCUGGAGGGUGGGAGGUGAUAGCUCCUGGGAAGUCCGGUCCGGGGUCCUGGCCAGGGAGUCACAGUGGCUGCUCUGCAGGCUGCCCUGAGGCUGAGGGCUGUGAGUCCUGGGAUCUGCUGGGG
Molecule: long non-coding RNA, 481 nt
Filed under: Homo sapiens (human)
Lineage: Eukaryota; Metazoa; Chordata; Mammalia; Primates; Hominidae
Description: HSALNT0360254
Source: RNAcentral